GGUUGUCUGGUCCAGAGGCUUCCCUAGGGUGAAGAGCUCUACUAUGUAUGCUUUAUGCGGCAGAGGGAGUGCUUUGGAGGAGUUUUUAAAUUUCUGUUUUUUUAAAAAAUCUUAUCCCAUCGGUUUUAAUUGUAGCAAUGAUUCAAGAAACGUUGGUAGGUGCCCAUAACUUUGGUGGUGGAGAUCCAAAAGUGAACAAGACAGUGUUCUGGCUGCUAAGUUCUUCUUAACUGGUUAUGCCUGGAGACCUUCACUUGGUUCUAUGCCAGCACUGCCCAUGAACUUCAUAGACUGAUCUUUGCUAAGGCCUAAAUGAAUGAAGAAUCUGAUGCUCGGCUGUCUGAAACCUAUUUCUGUAAUGAAAAUUAUGGGCUUACAUAUCCAGCAUUGUUUCUUAAAUAGAACUAGAAAUAAUAGCCUAAGAAAUGUACCAUCAGCUGGAACUGGAAAGAAUUGUGAUACUUGAAGAGACUUAGCACUUGGUGGACUAUGAUUUUCUAUCAAUCAAGUCAAGCAUUGCUACCCAGUCUUCACUACAGAGUCCACCGGAAAGAAUGAUCCAACAGUAAAAUGCUUUAUGAACUAUCCAUAUGGAAACCAUUGGCAAUAACACAUCCUGGCAUAUGGCUCUGAGACGUGUAAAGGCACAGUGAAUUCCUGAAUCAUCCUUUGAUCUUCCACAAGACUCAGUAUCACUGAUUAACUACAAUUUGAAUAUAGUUCAUCACUGAAGGAAUGAGUGAGUGAAUGAGAAAGUGAGCAAAUGAGGCCAUGGAGGUCACUUAAACGAGGGAUCAGGUUCAUAGAGGUCACCCAACACAAGAUGGAAUAGUCAAGUAAACCAAGUUUACAGAGUUAGACAAAACUCCAUAAGGCAAGGUCAACAAAGGCAGCUCUGACAGACUGUUCAAUCCUGACUUUAGGCUGAUGCUGGUCUCCACUCUGUCUUCCUCCUGAGAGUAGGUGGCCUGGGGGCCCUUAAAUAAUUGCUAGUGUUAAAAGGGAGUUCAAUAUUUUCAAGUGUACCUAGCUUCUGUUUGAAGAGAGACAGGGUAGAAGAAUUACCUGGAAGGGAUAGGGUACACACUGCCACCUCCAUUGCUGUAAUGUUUUACUCUUGUCAACAGACUUUCACAUAUAUGCUCUUGAGUCAAGCACAGGAAGAAAUAAAUUUUGCUACUGAAUUUGAAGCAAUUGGCCAUGGAAGCCAGUCUUCAGGGGCAUUAAAACAAAUGCCUAACAAAAGUUUAUUAUAAGGCACUUGCUCUACCUGAACUCAUUUCAUCCUCAGACAAAACCUAAGAAGUAAAAAUUAAUAUCCUUCCCUUUUCACAAGAUGAUGGAAUCAAGAGCCUUAACAAGUUUUAAUGGCCUGCCCAGGGUCGUUUGUCAACUUCUGAGUCUAAUGUCUAUGUUCUACUCAUGACAUGGCAGUUGUGGUAUAGAGGGGUCUGAUACAUCAUGAAAAUAUAAACCCACAGAUUUUGAUUCUAAGAAAGUGACCCAAGUUGUGUUCAUUAUGGUUUUGCUUAAAAUUAAAGUUGAGAUUGAAA
Molecule: long non-coding RNA, 1553 nt
Filed under: Pongo abelii (Sumatran orangutan)
Lineage: Eukaryota; Metazoa; Chordata; Mammalia; Primates; Hominidae
Description: lincRNA
Source: RNAcentral